UACGUGGGGAGCAAGCGUUGUUCGGAUUUACUGGGCGUAAAGAGCUCGUAGGCGGAUGCGUAAGUCGGAUGUGAAAUCCUCUGGCUCAACCAGAGAAUUGCACCCGAAACUGCGCAUCUUGAGUUCAGUAGAGGGAAUCGGAAUCGGUUGUGUAGCGGUGAAAUGCGUAGAGAUAACCGAGAACACCAGUGGCGAAGGCGGAUUCCUGGGCUGACACUGACGCUGAGGAGCGAAAGCGUGGGGAGCAAACAGG
This 253-nucleotide unclassified non-coding RNA is filed under the name uncultured bacterium. Its description in RNAcentral is "contains 16S-23S intergenic spacer region". It matches the Rfam family "Bacterial small subunit ribosomal RNA", at positions 524 to 776 of the family's 1533-position model. The record is from RNAcentral.